UCACCUUCACUCCCCUUUCACCCCCUUAACCCGGAUCUAUGCAUCAGCCCGGACGCCCGCAGCUUCCGCCGACGCACCGCCCCACCCCCACACGGUACACAUGAUCACGACAGGCUGUGCAUCUGUUCCAACCGGGAAGACCCUCCCUCCUCGUACUCCGAGGAGGAGGAGAUUGGGGAGGAGAGGAGGAGGAGGGGAAUCAACUGCCAAGCGGGGACGGCCGGGGUGAUGGUGGUGUAUUGCUGUGCCACCUCCGGCCCUACCUCUGCCUCCUCCCUCCUCCCGCCCCUCAUCGCUCUCCUCCCCUAUCACCGCCGCAGGUUGGACACAAGCUCCGACCCCGUGGGGGUGUUCCAAUAGCGGCCCUUCGUAUCCUGCAUAGCAGAAACCAAUCCAAAGAUAUUUUUAGGACUCCGAAGAAAAC
This 424-nucleotide long non-coding RNA is filed under the name Volvox carteri. RNAcentral's name for it is "long non-coding RNA (VCAR_LNC000838)". The record is from RNAcentral. Lineage: Eukaryota; Viridiplantae; Chlorophyta; Chlorophyceae; Chlamydomonadales; Volvocaceae.